UGCUGCAAGCAACAAAGACACUGAGAAGAAGACUGAAGCCUCCAACUGAGGGGACUGGCCCAGAUUUUAAGGGUGAAAUCUGUAUACUAUGGACUGCAAUAUCCAUUGGGACUGAUAGUCCCUAUGUGUAUUCCACUGUGGAUGACUGACAAGCAGUAUUCAUUGAGGAGGGUGCAGAGGACCGCUGUGGUACCAAUGACUGGAAGACUGCUGUGCUGGAAGAUGCAUUAGCUGUCGAAACUUGUAUCCGGACGUGUCUCUCAUGAAGGUAGAAUGCCAGAGCCUGGUGGAUAUCUAGAGAAUGAAGUAUUAUGUCCUCACUGGUGACGUGGUUUCGGGAAGAAAACAGACUGUUAUCUUCAAAUGGAAAAUCCUCCACUGUAGAUUGGACUUCUCUGAGGACUGAAGCCAUGACACUCUACACUUGACAAUAGCCAACACCAUCAAUUGGAAGGCAUGUUCGCUGCAUCAACUGACACUUGGAGGAAUGAUCUGGUAAUCAAUUUACCUUCCUCAAUGAGUACUUGGAACUGCACUCUAUCCUACUGCAGGAGCUGGUUAGUAAAUUCUGUGAACUUAGAGUAAUUCACAAAAUUGUAUUUAGACAUUAAUGCCUGGCAAUUUGCUAUGCAGAAAUGUAGGCUAGUUGAAGUAAAAACUUUCUCCCAAAUAAGUUCCUUAUCAGAAGGCGGUAGAUCUUGGUUGAUGUUGCCUGUAUCUUUCAAUGACUGCUUGGACUAUGAAGGAGUUUGGAGCAAGGUGUGUAAAUAAAAAUUCUGCUCCCUAGACUGAUACAAAGUACUUCUGUUCUGUACCUCUUUGGAGCGGGGGAAUAUAUGACAGGUAUGCCAGACUACCGUGGCAGAUUCUAAGAUGGAGUCAUUAAUGAGGAUUGCCACCAACUUGGUAGGCCCAUGCUCUGCCGAAAGUUGAGGAGUUUAUGAGGGGGGAUCUGGAAUGCAUCAGCAACCCUCCUUCAUAGGUCUUGGAGUUCCAGAGCACAAGAAGGGUGCAGGUGCAGACUAAUGGAAACUGCUAGCAAAAAGGUUUUGGUUUUAGGAGAUUGCACCCCACAGCAGAAUACACAUAGGGACCAUCACUUGAAGAAGAAUCCUUGAGUUCCAAGUACAGAACUAAAUGAGAUUAGCACAUUUUGUGCAUUUGCCAAGCCAAAUCUUGCUCUUGGAUGCACAUGCACAA
Malaclemys terrapin pileata is the source of this 1200-nucleotide long non-coding RNA. RefSeq lists it as uncharacterized. The transcript is spliced from 4 exons. The record is from RefSeq and is a predicted model, not a curated record. NCBI's taxonomy places the organism in Eukaryota, Metazoa, Chordata, Testudines, Emydidae.